UCAUUAACUGAAUCCAUAGGUUAAUGAGGCGAACCGGGGGAACUGAAACAUCUAAGUACCCCGAGGAAAAGAAAUCAACCGAGAUUCCCCCAGUAGCGGCGAGCGAACGGGGAGGAGCCCAGAGCCUGAAUCAGCAUGUGUGUUAGUGGAAGCGUCUGGAAAGGCGCGCGAUACAGGGUGACAGCCCCGUACACAAAAGCGCAUGUGCUGUGAGCUCGAUGAGUAGGGCGGGACACGUGGUAUCCUGUCUGAAUAUGGGGGGACCAUCCUCCAAGGCUAAAUACUCCUGACUGACCGAUAGUGAACCAGUACCGUGAGGGAAAGGCGAAAAGAACCCCGGCGAGGGGAGUGAAAAAGAACCUGAAACCGUGUACGUACAAGCAGUGGGAGCACAGGUUUACCUGUGUGACUGCGUACCUUUUGUAUAAUGGGUCAGCGACUUAUAUUCUGUAGCAAGGUUAACCGUAUAGGGGAGCCGGAGGGAAACCGAGUCUUAAUUGGGCGUUAAGUUGCAGGGUAUAGACCCGAAACCCGGUGAUCUAGCCAUGGGCAGGUUGAAGGUUGGGUAACACUAACUGGAGGACCGAACCGACUAAUGUUGAAAAAUUAGCGGAUGACCUGUGGCUGGGGGUGAAAGGCCAAUCAAACCGGGAGAUAGCUGGUUCUCCCCGAAAGCUAUUUAGGUAGCGCCUCGUGAAUUCAUCUCCGGGGGUAGAGCACUGUUUCGGCUAGGGGGCCAUCCCGGCUUACCAACCCGAUGCAAACUGCGAAUACCGGAGAAUGUUAUCACGGGAGACACACGGCGGGUGCUAACGUCCGUCGUGAAGAGGGAAACAACCCAGACCGCCAGCUAAGGUCCCAAAGUCAUGGUUAAGUGGGAAACGAUGUGGGAAGGCCCAGACAGCCAGGAUGUUGGCUUAGAAGCAGCCAUCAUUUAAAGAAAGCGUAAUAGCUCACUGGUCGAGUCGGCCUGCGCGGAAGAUGUAACGGGGCUAAACCAUGCACCGAAGCUGCGGCAGCGAACGUAUCACCCAAGACAACUUUACGGAGUUGACGAUUGACGGAGCGAAGCGACGUCAAAGCGUUCAUUAAAGUCGAGUUGGCUUAGGGAUACGUUCGUUGGGUAGGGGAGCGUUCUGUAAGCCUGUGAAGGUGUGUCGUGAGGCAUGCUGGAGGUAUCAGAAGUGCGAAUGCUGACAUAAGUAACGAUAAAGCGGGUGAAAAGCCCGCUCGCCGGAAGACCAAGGGUUCCUGUCCAACGUUAAUCGGGGCAGGGUGAGUCGACCCCUAAGGCGAGGCCGAAAGGCGUAGUCGAUGGGAAACGGGUUAAUAUUCCCGUACUUGGUGUUACUGCGAAGGGGGGACGGAGAAGGCUAUGUUGGCCGGGCGACGGUUGUCCCGGUUUAAGCGUGUAGGUGUGUGUUCCAGGUAAAUCCGGUUCACUUUAACACUGAGGCGUGACGACGAGGCACUACGGUGCUGAAGCAACAAAUGCCCUGCUUCCAGGAAAAGCCUCUAAGCAUCAGGUAACAUCAAAUCGUACCCCAAACCGACACAGGUGGUCAGGUAGAGAAUACCAAGGCGCUUGAGAGAACUCGGGUGAAGGAACUAGGCAAAAUGGUGCCGUAACUUCGGGAGAAGGCACGCUGACACGUAGGUGAAGUGAUUUACUCAUGGAGCUGAAGUCAGUCGAAGAUACCAGCUGGCUGCAACUGUUUAUUAAAAACACAGCACUGUGCAAACACGAAAGUGGACGUAUACGGUGUGACGCCUGCCCGGUGCCGGAAGGUUAAUUGAUGGGGUCAGCGCAAGCGAAGCUCCUGAUCGAAGCCCCGGUAAACGGCGGCCGUAACUAUAACGGUCCUAAGGUAGCGAAAUUCCUUGUCGGGUAAGUUCCGACCUGCACGAAUGGCGUAAUGAUGGCCAGGCUGUCUCCACCCGAGACUCAGUGAAAUUGAACUCGCUGUGAAGAUGCAGUGUACCCGCGGCAAGACGGAAAGACCCCGUGAACCUUUACUAUAGCUUGACACUGAACAUUGAGCCUUGAUGUGUAGGAUAGGUGGGAGGCUUUGAAGUGUGGACGCCAGUCUGCAUGGAGCCGACCUUGAAAUACCACCCUUUAAUGUUUGAUGUUCUAACGUGGACCCGUAAUCCGGGUUGCGGACAGUGUCUGGUGGGUAGUUUGACUGGGGCGGUCUCCUCCUAAAGAGUAACGGAGGAGCACGAAGGUUGGCUAAUCCUGGUCGGACAUCAGGAGGUUAGUGCAAUGGCAUAAGCCAGCUUGACUGCGAGCGUGACGGCGCGAGCAGGUGCGAAAGCAGGUCAUAGUGAUCCGGUGGUUCUGAAUGGAAGGGCCAUCGCUCAACGGAUAAAAGGUACUCCGGGGAUAACAGGCUGAUACCGCCCAAGAGUUCAUAUCGACGGCGGUGUUUGGCACCUCGAUGUCGGCUCAUCACAUCCUGGGGCUGAAGUAGGUCCCAAGGGUAUGGCUGUUCGCCAUUUAAAGUGGUACGCGAGCUGGGUUUAGAACGUCGUGAGACAGUUCGGUCCCUAUCUGCCGUGGGCGCUGGAGAACUGAGGGGGGCUGCUCCUAGUACGAGAGGACCGGAGUGGACGCAUCACUGGUGUUCGGGUUGUCAUGCCAAUGGCACUGCCCGGUAGCUAAAUGCGGAAGAGAUAAGUGCUGAAAGCAUCUAAGCACGAAACUUGCCCCGAGAUGAGUUCUCCCUGAGACUUAGAGUCUCCUGAAGGAACGUUGAAGACGACGACGUUGAUAGG
Molecule: ribosomal RNA, 2778 nt
Filed under: Salmonella enterica subsp. enterica serovar Typhimurium
Lineage: Bacteria; Pseudomonadati; Pseudomonadota; Gammaproteobacteria; Enterobacterales; Enterobacteriaceae
Description: partial 23S ribosomal RNA
Rfam family: Bacterial large subunit ribosomal RNA
Source: RNAcentral